Molecule: ribosomal RNA, 433 nt
Filed under: uncultured bacterium
Lineage: Bacteria
Description: partial 16S ribosomal RNA
Rfam family: Bacterial small subunit ribosomal RNA
Source: RNAcentral
AACGAACGCUGGCGGCAUGCCUAACACAUGCAAGUCGAACGAAACCUCCGGGACUAUGGUCGCACGGGUGCGUAGGGCGUCGGAAGCUGCCCUUAUGGUCGGAAUAACUCUCAGACAGGGGUACUAAUGCGGGAUAAUGUCUUCUGACCAAAGAUUUAUCGACCUGGAAUGGGCGGGCGUUGGAUUAGCUAGUUGGUAGGGUAAUAGCCUACUAAGGCGACGAUCAAUAGCUGGGUUGAGAGGAUGAUCAGCCACUCUGGGACUGAGACACGGCCGAGACUCCUCCGGGAGGGAGCAGAGGCGAAUAUUGGACAAUGGGCGGAGUCAUGAUCGAGUAAUGCCGCGUGAGUGCUGAAGGCCUUAGAGUUGUAAAGCUCUUUUACCCGGGAUGAUAAUGACAGUACCGGGAGAAUAAGCCCCGGCUAACUCCGUG